This 464-nucleotide ribosomal RNA is filed under the name uncultured Klebsiella sp. Its description in RNAcentral is "bacterial SSU rRNA". It matches the Rfam family "Bacterial small subunit ribosomal RNA", at positions 338 to 795 of the family's 1533-position model. Lineage: Bacteria; Pseudomonadati; Pseudomonadota; Gammaproteobacteria; Enterobacterales; Enterobacteriaceae. The record is from RNAcentral.
CCUACGGGGGGCUGCAGUGGGGAAUAUUGCACAAUGGGCGCAAGCCUGAUGCAGCCAUGCCGCGUGUGUGAAGAAGGCCCUCGGGUUGUAAAGCACUUUCAGCGGGGAGGAAGGCGUUAAGGUUAAUAACCUUGGCGAUUGACGUUACCCGCAGAAGAAGCACCGGCUAACUCCGGCCAGCAGCCGCGGUAAUACGGAGGGUGCAAGCGUUAAUCGGAAUUACUGGGCGUAAAGCGCACGCAGGCGGUCUGUCAAGUCGGAUGUGAAAUCCCCGGGCUCAACCUGGGAACUGCAUUCGAAACUGGCAGGCUAGAGUCUUGUAGAGGGGGGUAGAAUUCCAGGUGUAGCGGUGAAAUGCGUAGAGAUCUGGAGGAAUACCGGUGGCGAAGGCGGCCCCCUGGACAAAGACUGACGCUCAGGUGCGAAAGCGUGGGGAGCAAACAGGAUUAGAUACCCGGGUAGUC